This 492-nucleotide ribosomal RNA is filed under the name uncultured bacterium. RNAcentral describes it as "partial 16S ribosomal RNA". It matches the Rfam family "Bacterial small subunit ribosomal RNA", at positions 28 to 507 of the family's 1533-position model. The record is from RNAcentral.
GAUGAACGCUAGCUACAGGCUUAACACAUGCAAGUCGAGGGGAAACGACAUCGAAAGCUUGCUUUUGAUGGGCGUCGACCGGCGCACGGGUGAGUAACGCGUAUCCAACCUGCCCACCACUUGGGGAUAACCUUGCGAAAGUAAGACUAAUACCCAAUGAUAUCUCUAGAAGACAUCUGAAAGAGAUUAAAGAUUUAUCGGUGAUGGAUGGGGAUGCGUCUGAUUAGCUUGUUGGCGGGGUAACGGCCCACCAAGGCAACGAUCAGUAGGGGUUCUGAGAGUAAGCUACCCCACAUCGGAGCCACGACCCAGUCCACACCCCGACGCGGCGGAGCAGAGUAGAAUACUAGGCGAUGGACGCUAGUCUGAACAUGCCACGUAGCGUGCAAGAAGCCUCGGGUAUGGAUUGUAUUCUGUUUUGAUAGAAAAAUAGAGUGUGUCUCGUGCGACUUUUUGCAGGUACCCAAUGAAUAAGCACCGGCUAACUCCGUG